ACACACCUUUGUGUGUGUUCUGGUCGUACAAAACACAGCAGCCAAGAAGGGCUCUCAAGCUCAAAACCUAACAAGCAUAAAAUCAACAAAUUGAAGGGGUAAAUCCAACCUAAAUCGAAAUCCAAGCACGAAUUCAUGAUCACCUCGAUGAAGGGAUCAUAAGUUUGACUCUUGACAAGCUAGAUGGAGGCUUGGGGAAAGAAGCGGGUCAAACGGAUCGUAUACGCGGAAAAGAGCAUAAUCCGGAUACUAGGAAUAAAUAUCGAUUGAAUGUUGACAUCGCUAUUACUUAGCGGCUACUAAGGCAAGGUAUCGAAACGGGUCAAUAUAUUGAUCCGAGCCAGGUUUGUAUAAUGAUUCAACUCGUCAUGUAGAACUUGAGGUUCUAUAAGUGUUAGACAAGGAUAAAAUAUAGAUAUUCGGUUAUCAUUAAGGUAAACCGAAUAAAUUGGGUCAUGAUUAUGGUAUUUUAGAAAUAUAAUGGUUUCUAAACAAGAUUAUAGUUUUAAAAGUGAGAUUUUGGUCGAACAUGGCUUUAAAGGUCCUUCGUCGUAAUAGGAGGGGUAAAAGUGACCAAAAUGCUCUUAUAAGUGAAAUUAAGCAAACGAUCCCUAAAGGUUGCUUAGAAAUGAGUUUUGUAACCAAAUAGAUACUUGUAUUAAGUAUAAAAAGUGAAAUAUGUGAAUCUUUGGGUCAAUUGACUCUAUAUGAGUCUUUGCCGUAAAAUGAUAAUCCGAGGGGUAAAACUCGGAAUAAAUAGAUCUCCACAUUAAAUCCUCCACACAUAUAGUUGUGGUGGAAGAUAAAUUGAUAAAUAAUAUGGAAGUACAAUGCUAGAAGUGAAUGGGUAUGAAUUAUGCGGUAAAAGUGCUUAAAUACCCUUAACGGGUCAAAAUAAGCUUCUAAGUCAAAACGGGUUAAAGAAGGUAUACAAACCCGUGAUUUUGAGCCUAAUAUAAUAGGAGAUAUUGAAAUUAUGAAGUUCAUGGGUUUAAAGAUCAAAUAGGCAUGUUUGUUUGAUAAAAUCACGAACGGGUCAAAAUUUGGUAAAAAGGGUAAUAAGCCAAAGAUUUAAAAGUCUUAAAUUUUUGUUAAUCCGGAUGUCGGAUUUUAA
Long non-coding RNA from Helianthus annuus (common sunflower), 1114 nucleotides. RefSeq lists it as uncharacterized. The transcript has 3 exons. Lineage: Eukaryota; Viridiplantae; Streptophyta; Magnoliopsida; Asterales; Asteraceae. The record is from RefSeq and is a predicted model, not a curated record.